AAAAGUAAAAGACGCUUACACAAAAAAUGUUUUUCAAAACGGCUGAGUCGAUUCAAGCUGCUUUUCUGUCAGCUGAAAAAAUAGUCUUGCCAACCCUACCUUCCCGAAGAAAGGAGCGGAGGAGGAAGUUGAUUCGCCGAAGUCGGAACGUGAGCUGCAAAACCGGCGGAGAUUGUGUCGUUCCCAUAGGCUAGGUUGGUGAGUUGAUUGGUGAACUCGAUUCCGUGCAAGCACACAUCAGCGGCUUCUUGCUUAAGAAGGUAAUUUGAAAAAAAUCCUUGAAAAAUUAUCUUUAAAAAAAAAGCUUUUAACUCCAGCUUCUAACAUUCCAGAUCGAUCAAUUGUUUUCAAGGGCAUGGAUAGCAACAUCAUCAAGAAGAUUCAACUAACCACGUGCCGUUGAUCAUAAAAACAUUCUGUGCUGAAGAAUAUCACCAGCAAAACCACCUUCAGAUAAGUGCUUGAUUUUUUUCUACAAAAGAAUUAGACACUUUGUGAUAAUUUCCAACAUUUUAGGUAGAAACUCAACUUGGACCAAAAGCAACAGAAAAGGCAGCCUUAGUUGAAAAAAAAGAAAGAUGUGUGCGUCAGUAAAUCAAAAGCGAUCUCGGGGUUGGAGUGAACUAAGAGAGCCAGGAUCAGCAAAUCUUCAGACAAAGAUUGACUCCAAAGAAUUCGACCGUAUUAAAAUUUCCGGUUGAACUCAAGAACAACAAGAUCACCAGAUGAACUCUCGGUUAUCCGACGUUGCACGACUGCGCCGUUUUCCUUCAGAACAAUCUUCAGAACCGGCUGCUGAAGUAACCUCUGGGACCCCUCCAUCCGACCAACAAUUUCCAAAGAAUGACGGAGAUGGAGCUGAUCGUGGUGUACAGCUUUGGUCAACUCUACCACAGUGGAUACCUCCCUGAACU
Long non-coding RNA from Culex quinquefasciatus (southern house mosquito), 914 nucleotides. RefSeq lists it as uncharacterized. NCBI's taxonomy places the organism in Eukaryota, Metazoa, Arthropoda, Insecta, Diptera, Culicidae. The record is from RefSeq and is a predicted model, not a curated record. The transcript has 3 exons.